UUUUAUUGAAGAAUUAUUUUAGUUGUUGUAUGUUUUUGAUUUAAUUUUUUAAAUGAUAGUUUAUUUGUACUGUAAGGGGUUGAUUUUGGUUUAAAUGUUUUUUUGGAAGUAGAUUUUGUUUGUCGUACCUUGUGUAUCAGGGUUCAUUAAAUUUUAUUAUUUAUUUUUAUUUCCCGAUUUAAAAGGAGUUAAUGACUUGUUUUAUUUACUGUUUCAUUAGUAUUAAUAACUGGUUAUUGGCAGUGAAAUGUUAUUCGUCUUUUAAGGUUUCUGGUUUUUCAAGAAAUGAAUUCAAUUCAUGUAUUUUAUUUAAUUUCUGUUGUUGGUUAUAUUUAUUUUUAUUUUAUGCUAAGAUUAAGGGGGAUUAGCUCCUUAUUUUAUGAUUAUAAUUUAUUUGAUUUAAUUUAGUUUUGUGGAUUUUAUAGUGAUUUUCAAUUUGAUUAUGUUAAAAUUUUAUUUAUUCUUUUUCUUUAUUUUGAUUUAUUUAAUUUAUUUAUUGGAAUGUUUGCUUGUCUUUGUUUUGUAUAGUAAUUAUUAUGUAAUUAGUAAAUUUUUCUUUUUGUGUUAUUUAAUUUUGAUGUUAAUUCCUUUUUAGGAAUUCGGCAAAGUUUUAUGCCCGCCUGUUUAACAAAAACAUCUUUUCUUGUUAGUUUCUGAAGUAUGGCCUGCCCACUGACUUUUUGUUGAAGGGCCGCGGUAUUUUGACCGUGCAAAGGUAGCAUAAUCAUUAGUUCUUUAAUUGUGAUCUGGUAUGAAUGGCUUGACGAGGUAUAAGCUGUCUUAAUGGGAUUUUUGUUGAAUUUAGUUUUUGAGUUAAAAUUCUUAGAUGUUUUUAUGGGACGAGAAGACCCUAUAGAGUUUUACAUUUAGUUUUAUUAUUUAUUAAGUGUUUGUUUAUUUUAUAUAGUGAGCUGAAUGUUUUGUUGGGGUGAUGGGAGGAAUUUUUUUAACUCCUCUUUGUUUUAUUAUACUUAUAUGUAUUUUUUUGAUCCAUUUAUUUUGAUUAUAAGAUUAAAUUACCUUAGGGAUAACAGCGUUAUCUUCCUUGAGAGUUCUUAUUGGCGGGGAGGUUUGCGACCUCGAUGUUGGAUUAAGAUGAAUUUUCGGUGCAGGAGCUGAAGAUGAUUAGGUCUGUUCGACCUUUAAAAUCUUACAUGAUCUGAGUUCAGACCGGCGUGAGCCAGGUUGGUUUCUAUCUAUAAAUUUUUAUUAUACCUUAGUACGAGAGGACCGGGUAUUUGGAAUAAUUUUUUCUAUUGGACUAUUAUUAAUAUUUUU
Molecule: ribosomal RNA, 1278 nt
Filed under: Pericapritermes sp. 4 SH-2021a
Lineage: Eukaryota; Metazoa; Arthropoda; Insecta; Blattodea; Termitidae
Description: 16S ribosomal RNA
Rfam family: Bacterial large subunit ribosomal RNA (bases 833-1202)
Source: RNAcentral